Molecule: ribosomal RNA, 501 nt
Filed under: uncultured bacterium
Lineage: Bacteria
Description: partial 16S ribosomal RNA
Rfam family: Bacterial small subunit ribosomal RNA
Source: RNAcentral
AUUGAACGCUGGCGGCAGGCUUAACACAUGCAAGUCGAGCGGGGGAAGGUAGCUUGCUACCGGACCUAGCGGCGGACGGGUGAGUAAUGCUUAGGAAUCUGCCUAUUAGUGGGGGACAACAUCUCGAAAGGGAUGCUAAUACCGCAUACGUCCUACGGGAGAAAGCAGGGGAUCUUCGGACCUUGCGCUAAUAGAUGAGCCUAAGUCAGAUUAGCUAGUUGGUGGGGUAAAGGCCUACCAAGGCGACGAUCUGUAGCGGGUCUGGGAGGAUGAUCCGCCACACUGGGACCGAGACACGGCCCAGACUCCUACGGGAGGCAGCAGUGGGGAAUAUUGGACAAUGGGGGGAACCCUGAUCCAGCCAUGCCGCGUGUGUGAAGAAGGCCUUAUGGUUGUAAAGCACUUUAAGCGAGGAGGAGGCUACUUUAGUUAAUACCUAGAGAUAGUGGACGUUACUCGCAGAAUAAGCACCGGCUAACUCUGUGCCAGCAGCCGCGGUAA